AUUGAACGCUGGCGGCAGGCCUAACACAUGCAAGUCGAGCGGAUGAAGGGAGCUUGCUCCUGGAUUCAGCGGCGGACGGGUGAGUAAUGCCUAGGAAUCUGCCUGGUAGUGGGGGAUAACGUCCGGAAACGGGCGCUAAUACCGCAUACGUCCUGAGGGAGAAAGUGGGGGAUCUUCGGACCUCACGCUAUCAGAUGAGCCUAGGUCGGAUUAGCUAGUUGGUGGGGUAAAGGCCUACCAAGGCGACGAUCCGUAACUGGUCUGAGAGGAUGAUCAGUCACACUGGAACUGAGACACGGUCCAGACUCCUACGGGAGGCAGCAGUGGGGAAUAUUGGACGAUGGGCGAAAGCCUGAUCCAGCCAUGCCGCGUGUGUGAAGAAGGUCUUCGGAUUGUAAAGCACUUUAAGUUGGGAGGAAGGGCAGUAAGUUAAUACCUUGCUGUUUUGACGCUACCAACAGAAUAAGCACCGGCUAACUUCGUG
This 484-nucleotide ribosomal RNA is filed under the name uncultured bacterium. RNAcentral describes it as "partial 16S ribosomal RNA". It matches the Rfam family "Bacterial small subunit ribosomal RNA", at positions 30 to 507 of the family's 1533-position model. The record is from RNAcentral.